CAGUCGCCGCGGUAAUACAGAGGGUGCGAGCGUUAAUCGGAUUUACUGGGCGUAAAGCGUGCGUAGGCGGCUAAUUGAGUCGGAUGUGAAAUCCCCGAGCUUAACUUGGGAAUUGCAUUCGAUACUGGUUAGCUAGAGUGUGGGAGAGGAUGGUAGAAUUCCAGGUGUAGCGGUGAAAUGCGUAGAGAUCUGGAGGAAUACCGAUGGCGAAGGCAACCAUCUGGCCUAACACUGACGCUGAGGUACGAAAGCAUGGGGAGCAAACAGGAUUAGAUACCCGUGUAGUCCCUGUCUCUUAUAC
RNAcentral lists this ribosomal RNA (301 nucleotides) under uncultured bacterium. RNAcentral's name for it is "partial 16S ribosomal RNA". It matches the Rfam family "Bacterial small subunit ribosomal RNA", at positions 509 to 807 of the family's 1533-position model. The record is from RNAcentral.